UUAAUAACAUCUGUAAGGAGAAUAGAGCUUUGACCAGGAGGAACUGUUGUCAUCCGAUGGUAUCCAAUGAUCAUCUGGUGUUUCGACCCUGAACCAUAACACCCUCCUGUUGGUGGGUCAGCAGAGAUGGCCAAAUUACUGUUCAUCAUCUCC
This is a long non-coding RNA of Octopus sinensis (East Asian common octopus), 153 nucleotides long. RefSeq lists it as uncharacterized. Lineage: Eukaryota; Metazoa; Mollusca; Cephalopoda; Octopoda; Octopodidae. The transcript has 3 exons. The record is from RefSeq and is a predicted model, not a curated record.